GGGCAUCAUGAUCUAGCAAUAGAUUGAUGGCGACCGGCGCACGGGUGAGUAACACGUAUCCAACCUUCCAUUAACUCGGGGAUAGCCUUUCGAAAGAAAGAUUAAUACCCGAUAGUAUAGCAUUUCCGCAUGGUUUUGCUAUUAAAGAAUUUCGGUUAUUGAUGGGGAUGCGUUCCAUUAGUUUGUUGGCGGGGUAACGGCCCACCAAGACUUCGAUGGAUAGGGGUUCUGAGAGGAAGGUCCCCCACAUUGGAACUGAGACACGGUCCAAACUCCUACGGGAGGCAGCAGUGAGGAAUAUUGGUCAAUGGACGAGAGUCUGAACCAGCCAAGUAGCGUGAAGGAUGAAGGCUCUAUGGGUCGUAAACUUCUUUUAUACGGGAAUAAAGUGAUCCACGUGUGGUUUUUUGUAUGUACCGUAUGAAUAAGGAUCGGCUAACUCCGUGCCAGCAGCCGCGGUAAUACGGAGGAUCCGAGCGUUAUCCGGAUUUAUUGGGUUUAAAGGGAGCGUAGGCGGGUUGUUAAGUCAGUUGUGAAAGUUUACGGCUCAACCGUAAAAUUGCAGUUGAUACUGGCUAGUCUUGAGUGCAGUAGAGGUGGGCGGAAUUCGUGGGUAGC
Molecule: ribosomal RNA, 618 nt
Filed under: uncultured bacterium
Lineage: Bacteria
Description: bacterial SSU rRNA
Rfam family: Bacterial small subunit ribosomal RNA
Source: RNAcentral